Molecule: transfer RNA, 73 nt
Filed under: Candidatus Sysuimicrobiota bacterium CSP1-3
Lineage: Bacteria; Bacillati; Candidatus Sysuimicrobiota
Description: Armatimonadetes bacterium CSP1-3 tRNA-Arg
Rfam family: tRNA
About the family: Transfer RNA (tRNA) molecules are approximately 80 nucleotides in length. Their secondary structure includes four short double-helical elements and three loops (D, anti-codon, and T loops).
Source: RNAcentral
GGGCCCGUAGCUCAAUGGACAGAGCAACGGCCUUCUAAGUCGUAGGCUGAGGGUUCGAAUCCCUCCGGGCCCG